UUUCCCUCAAUCAUCGGGAUGAGACCAUUAAUCUUGAAGUUGUUGUUCUGGAUAGCAGGAGGCGCAAUCCUUUCCUCUGACGGUGGUCCUGUGGUGCAUCUCCAGCACCAAUGUUAGCAGGGCCAUUAUGUUGAUUUUGUUUGUCAGCGUCUUCGAGUGGUUGCUGGGUAAAAGGUUGACUAUGUUUCUCCUUUCUCUGAUUUCGCGAGCGAUGCGGUCGAUGUUAUCGUUGAAAAGGAGGUUCUGGUUGCCUGUUGAUCAAGUUUACAUACAGAAGAGGUGUACCGGAUCAAGAAGACAACAAGAAAAACACACAGUUAGUAACCGAAAUGAAAAUUGAAAAAGAACUUGAUCUAAGCAAGUCUGAAAUCUCAAAUGAACAAACCAACACCCAAUUGGCAACGACGCCAAAUUGAUAAUAGGUUUUUAGUCUAUUAUCCUAAAACACCAAUCAUGUCGUUGUAGUAUUUUAGGUUGUCAAUCCAAAUGGGUGUGAUGCUAGCAAUCAAGAUGUAAUCAGAGUUCAAAGAGUCAAGCCAAACAAUAACAGGUUUUGGGGUGUUCUAGCAGUCCUAAGUGAACAUGCGGGAAACAGAAAAUUAAGCAGAAUAGAAAAGCACUCUACCAACACAGCUUGUUGCCAACCACUGGGUGUGGUCGAGUGAUAGGGCGAGUAACAGACAGAAAAUGUAACAAGGAUACUCGACUGCACAGUCUGUUUCCAGACAACUGGGUGGUCGAGUAUUAGGUCGAGUAACAGGCAAAAAUAGCAAAAACUAAGCAACAGGAAACACAAUGCAGUAAACAAUAGAGAGUAAACAAAGAAAUCAAUUAGAUGAGAAAUUACCAAGGAUGGAGUAAUUAAGUAGUUUUGUUUCCUCAGUUUAUAAGUGAUUGACAUGCUCAAUAAAUUAUCCCUAGACAACAAGUUCGAUAACCAAAUCUAAGUGCCACCGCAACAUAGGCCCUCAAGUUAAACAAGUCCCAGACUCAAUCACCAUUGACGAGAGCUAACCUAACAGGCAUUACGAAUCAACAAGUUAAAGCCAAAACGCUCGCUGCAACCAAUACGUUGGUACAAAGCCAUGAAUCUCUGGAAUUAGUGGUUCAGACAUUUCAUUGAACACCUUUUGGGCGUGGAAAUGUCUGAACUUAAAUUUCAGUUGAUCAGAAAGCAAUAGGCAUUAAGAACAACUAAUCCAGAAGGGAUCUAUAAAUCAAACUCAACCACCUAGCAUACUGAGAAUUUUAAACUACUCUAACCAUCCUCACAAACCUAGUCACUACUCAGGCAUCAUUGCAGAGAACAUAAACGAUGAAAAGAAUAAAAACAUGAUAGCAACAGAGUAAUUGCAGGAUGAUAACAGGAUGAACAACUUAGUAAAUA
This 1387-nucleotide small RNA is filed under the name Arabidopsis thaliana (thale cress). RNAcentral's name for it is "ATSL273730". Lineage: Eukaryota; Viridiplantae; Streptophyta; Magnoliopsida; Brassicales; Brassicaceae. The record is from RNAcentral.